Molecule: ribosomal RNA, 505 nt
Filed under: uncultured bacterium
Lineage: Bacteria
Description: bacterial SSU rRNA
Rfam family: Bacterial small subunit ribosomal RNA
Source: RNAcentral
GCUGAAUCUGGUGCUUGCACUAGACGGAUGAGUUGCGAACGGGUGAGUAACGCGUAGGUAACCUGCCUCAUAGCGGGGGAUAACUAUUGGAAACGAUAGCUAAUACCGCAUAACAGUAUUUACCGCAUGGUAGAUACUUGAAAGGAGCAAUUGCUUCACUAUGAGAUGGACCUGCGUUGUAUUAGCUAGUUGGUGAGGUAACGGCUCACCAAGGCAUCGAUACAUAGCCGACCUGAGAGGGUGAUCGGCCACACUGGGACUGAGACACGGCCCAGACUCCUACGGGAGGCAGCAGUAGGGAAUCUUCGGCAAUGGGGGCAACCCUGACCGAGCAACGCCGCGUGAGUGAAGAAGGUUUUCGGAUCGUAAAGCUCUGUUGUAAGAGAAGAACUGUGAUAAGAGUGGAAAGUUUCUCACUUGACGGUAUCUUACCAGAAAGGGACGGCUAACUACGUGCCAGCAGCCGCGGUAAUACGUAGGUCCCGAGCGUUGUCCGGAUUUUAUU